This 497-nucleotide ribosomal RNA is filed under the name uncultured bacterium. RNAcentral describes it as "partial 16S ribosomal RNA". It matches the Rfam family "Bacterial small subunit ribosomal RNA", at positions 29 to 507 of the family's 1533-position model. The record is from RNAcentral.
AAUGAACGCUGGCGGCGUGCCUAAUACAUGCAAGUCGAACGAACGGACGAUAAGCUUUUUCUCCUGCUGUUAGCGGCUGGCGGGUGAGUAACGCGUGGAUCACCUACUUAUAAUACUGGGAUAACUACGUAAAAAAGGUUCUGCUAACAGAUCAUAUUUUGUACCGCUGGGAUCAAAGGUGCUUCACGGCUUUCGCGAUAGUAAUAGCUGAAUCCGCGCUGCAUUAGCUAGUUGGUAAGGGAACGGCUAACCAAGGAAACGAUGCAUAGCCGAUCUGAGAGGGUGAUCGGCCACACUGGAACUGAGACACGGUCCAGACUCCUACGGGAGGCAGCAGUCGGGAAUAUUAGGCAAUGGGCGAAAGCCUGAUCGAGCAACACCGCGUGAGUGAUGAAGGUCUUCGGGUCGUAAAGCCCUGUUAUUAGGGAAGAAAAGCUGUAUAAGAAGCUGUGGCUGUCUUGACGGUACCUAAUGAAAAAGCACCGGCUAACUACGUG